CACCUAACAUAAUAUUACUGGAUCAAGACGUCACGUGACAAUAAAUCUAUUUCAUACAAGUUGUUCUCCUUAUUAACCACUUGUCAUAAAAAAAAAGGGCUAAAAUACUCAUUAUUUGUUAAUUUUAAUGCGAAAUACUCACUUUGGUACUGUACAUAAUGGGAUAAUUAUUGGGGUUUUGAGUAUGGUUGAUUGACGUUAACAAAAAGUGAGUAUUGUGGCCAAUUCCCAUUUGCCUUCCCUUGCAGUGUUGGAGUUGUAAGACAUUUUCUGAAAUCACAACAACAUGACAUUAAGAUCACGAAUGCGAUAAUCAAAUCAACAUGAAAAAGGAAAUAAACUUAUAGGCCCUUUAUGCAAAGGGAUCCCCAUUUUUUUUUCAAAAAAAAAUUGGGGAUUAGGUGUAGGGCUGACUCCACAUCGAACUUCAAUGAUCUGAACAGUCUAUUUUGUAAGUCUCGAUUCAUAGAUCAUCCUUGCAAAAAUUCAAUUCAAUUCGAAACCAUUUGCCUAUUUAAUUAUCAAGAUAAAAUUUCAUUAUUUCUUACAUAACAAAGUAUUCGUUAAUUUCUUUGAACCCAAUUAGAUGUCUUAAACAUUUCCGAUUUAGCUAAUAUUUUGCAAGGAUGAUUUAUGAGGUGCAACUUGAAAAAUAGACGGUUUGGAUCAUUAAAGUUUGAUGUAGUAUAGACCCCACAACUAAUCCCCAUUUUUAUUAUAAAAAAAACAAGGGAUCCCUUCCCUUAAAGAUAACAGGAAAACAUGGUGCUAGGGUUUGAAGGAAGGGUCUUCUCCACUCAAGCAGUCAUAAGUCCCUUUUGCUGGUGAAUAGGGUUUAGCACAAAACAAGGAUAAUUAUUGUGAGUGCGGGGACCUCCUAAUAUAUUGAUACUUAUCCAUGUAAUCCGGCCAAUUAACUGAUUACAUGGGAUAUUUCAUAUCAAUUAGGGGUAUCAUAAUAGUCCUAAAUGGUAACGAAUUCUUUGUCAACUAUUUAAGGUUUUCCUAAUUAAUUUCACUAAAUAAGGACUCCUAAACCUAACCAAAUAAGGCUCUAUAAUUUUCUCAACUAUUAACUCGGAUUGACCAAGUUACUUGUAUGUCAAGAAAUGGGGAGCACAUAUCCUUUGACACUCACAACUUACAUUCUCCCACUUGAGUGUCCAAGAACAUGAUACUUACUUGGCUACAUACUUGCUUAGCUAGGUGGUAGGUGAUCACUGAGUCCCACAAAAUUUGCAAUUAUACCUUUAACAACUUGUCAAUAGUAGUUUAAAUAUUGGAUUAUAGAAAUAACAUGUAAUUGCUUCUACUUGUUUACUUUAUUACCACGAAUAUAAAAUUACAAGCACAAUGUUGUCUGACAUCAUUUGUGAAAUUCAGGUUGAUAAGCAAAAAUAUCGACUCCUAAACUGAGCCUCAUGCAAGCAUGACUCAUAUUUGUUGUCAAUUAAAACAUAAAAAUAAGAGAAGAUGCAAAUACAAUAUAUUGUUGCACAAUUACUCUCUUAUCAAGAUUUAUGAAUAAAAGUGUACUAUUAAACCAUUUUCCACUAACACUUCAAUUCAAAAAUACAAAAGCAAUUUCAAACUCUCACUGGUUAAAAGAGUAAAAAAAUCUCAUAACCACACAUACCUUUUAAAUGCUCCCACUGAUAAAGCAUUAGUCAAUUAUUUAUAAUUACAAAUUUUGAGAAUUCAACAUCAACUACUAAUUUUUUUUUACUUCAUCUCUAUGUCAGAUAUUGCAAGGAAGUGAGUGACUGAAAAACUAAACAAAAUCAAAUGGUCAAUUUUAUUCAUCUAAAAUUUGACAGAAACAGAAAACUUUAACGGAACAUUUUCUGAUUGCAACAUAAGCAUAUAAUUCCAAAAUCAUCUAUGGACAGAAUUUGAUUACAUUAGGUUUUCAUAGCUAAAACAUAAAAUACAAGGGCAAACGUAAAUAAUUUCAACACUUUUAAGCAGAUGAAGUAUAUACAAUCUUGUCAAUUCCAUGUUUAAUUGUUCAUUGAUUUAUAGUUUUAAUGAAUAAGAAAACACUUUUGAGCAGCUUAAUUAUCCAUCAAUAACAUGUAAAUCACAAGUCCAAUUUCUUGAACAACAAACAAGAAUUAAUAAGAAAAAUACUUUUGAUUUACAUUUUAUCUACUAAAACCAAAAUUGAUGAGUGUGAAACCCAGAAUACAUUAUUUCUCACACUUGGGCAAACACUCAAAAUUGCAAGAUUAAACACUAGAGAAAUUGGUUUUCAUAGAACAAAAUAUAGGCUUGUGUUAAUGUCUAAUUAACAACCAAAAUGCAAGUAAGUUGAAUCAAUAGAUCAAAUACAUAAACUUUUCCUACAAGUAGGUUAGAAUUAAAAAGUUCCAUAAAUAAAAAAAACUCAUGCAAUGAUUACAUUUUAAUUUUAUUUUAGUGCAUGAGAGAAAACUCACAUAUGUGUUAAAAAAUUAGGUCAUAUAUUAAAAUGAAACUUAAUAAGAGAGUCCAAACCCAAAAUUUAUGUUUUAAUUCUAAAAUAAAGUCGAUUAAAAUAAACACUUAGUUUAGAUAUCUCGAUAACAUCAAUUUUUAACAAUAAUUUUAAUCCAAUUUAGAGCUCAGAGAAAAUUAAGGCAAAAGAUUGACAAAUUUACCUCCUCAUUCUCGAUUAUGCAAGAUUUAUCAUGGAAGUAGUCGGGUUAUGGAGGAUCGAACCAACUACAAAUUGCAUGAUUGUUACACCUUUGGCAGAAUCAAAUCAUGCAAAGGAAAUACUUGCAUGGUUAGCCAAAACAUAAAAUACACAAAAUACAUAUAGCUUCAACAACUUUGGCCGGAUGAAAAUAAUGUUAGAAGUACUUUAUGAUUUGCUAUAAUACUAAUUUAUAGUUGGUAAAUGAUUUCCUAAAAUUCCCUUUGGGACAAAAGUAUUCACCAUAUAAAUUAGAAUUCUGAUUUUUCAAAAUAAUCAUUUAGAACAGUUUAAGUAAUCCAUUUUGUUGUAUAUUCAAUGAUUCUUAAAAGAUCAAGUCAGACACAAGAGUAUGUCGUUAUUGACAUUGAACAAUAAAAUUCUCGAAAGAGGAAACAUAAUUAUUCAGUUAUUCGAUAGGGACUAAAAUGAUCAAUUAAACUGAUCCCACUUUCCAAUUUUUGUCUCAAAAGACAAUGAUCAUCAUAAUCAAAAAUUGACCAAACAGAACAUUGGUUUGAGCAAAAUAAACCAAUACACCUUUAAAUCAAAACUUAAUCAGUGUUGCCUAAUAAAAGUCAUUAGUAUAGAGAAUUGCAUAAAAUAAGGACAUAUGGAACAAUAAACUUGUCUAAUAGUCGGUGCCAAUAGAUGUGCACAAAUCAGUGAAAUAUCCCAGAACACAACUAGUUGUUUGAAGUCCCAAAAUUCAGCAGCACAAAAUUAUUUUGUAAAUUCACUAAAAACUCAAUUCUUUUUAGGUUGUCAUGAAACUUUUCAAGUAUGAACUAGACAUAUAUGGCUACUAUUCUGCAAAAUUUCAUGAUUUUUAAAAUUUUAUAAGUGAGCCAAAAAUGAAUUUGAAAAGAGAGGUGCCGCAGAAAAUGUUCAGUACAUACCUGAGAUUACAAAUUCACCAAAUAUUCAUUGUUCAUCCGAUGAUGCAUGAAAAUUUUCAGACAUAAGGUAAACAUACAAAGCUGUUAGAUCCCAAAAUUUUCAUAAUUUUUGAGAUUUUAUAAGUGUACUAAAAGAAAAUUAGAAAUGGGAUGUGCUGCAGAAAUGGCAAAAAUUCUGCAGUACGUACCCAAGACUAAAUGAUUCACCAAAAAUUAAAUUUUUCUCCAAUGUGCAUGAAAACUUCCAGAAAUGAAUUAGACAUAUAAAUUUACUGUCACCAAAAAUUCCAUAAUUUUUACAAUCUUAAAAGUGGGCUAAAAAUAAAAUCAAAAUGGAAUGUGCUGCAGAAACUGUGUAAAUUCUGUAGCACAAUCCCAAGAUUAAAAAUUCACCAAUAAGUCAUUUUCAAACCAAUGCGUGUGAAAAUUUCCAAACCUAAAAUAAAUAUCUCAAUGUAUAUCAUACUAAAGUUCAUGAAUUUAUGAGUUACAUAGAUAUAUCAAAAUACUGUCACAAAUAGACUAUGAUGCAGAAUUCCAGCAACAUAGUGUAACACUUAAACUUUUAUCAUAAAUCCAUUUCUUGUCCGAAAGACAUGAAAUUUUUUCCAUGUAUAGAAUUCAUUAUAUAACAUAACAUGACUUAAUUUCAUCAAAAUUUAAGUUAGGAAAAAUUAUCAAAUUAUUGUUCUAGAGUGGUGACUGAAAUUUACAAGACCUUCUAAUCAGGUCACAAUAAAAUGAGAUAAAUAUGCAUUGAUGAGAAUUUGGCUAAACAAUGGCCAUUCACUAUAUAUUUGCUACACCAAAUGCAAAUGGGUAACAAAAAUUUCAUUCUUUUGGUGAUUACAACAAGCAAGGCAUCCCUUUCCACCAUAAAAGAAAAGGAUUUAGUCAUUUAGACAACUUCUCUUAAAGUCUACAUCAGCAAAAUAUCCAAAUUUGUUAACCAUAUCAAGUUUGAAUGCAAAAAUCACACUACUAUCCUUUUAAUUCAUUAAGUCAAUGUAGUUAAAAUAUAAGUUAAUGUAGUUAAAAAAUCUCAACACUACCACUGCAAUUCUUCUCUUCCAUACAAGGGUAAUAUAUUCAUGAAUAAUAGUAGAAUAAGAGUGAGCGGAAGCAUGAAAAUCCCAAAAACACAUAAUGAUGGGAUUAUUUUAUAACGAUGACAACCAAAAUUUUAAACUUGACCAAUGGCACCGUGAGCAGUGACUGAAUGACGGCUUGCUGGUGACCAAUGUGUAAGAGAAAAACUUGAAACACCAUGCGUUAGGGGAAGAGAAGCCUGAUGUACCUCUUCUUCCUCUUUUUUUUUGGAAAACUAACCAAAAACCCAAGAAAACUUUUCUUUUAAUCAUCAGGACAGAAGUUUUCAAAUAUGCCAAUCAUGCGCUUCAAGCAUAUGUACAAGAUUGCUCAACAUUCUACAAAAUUCACAUGGUUUCACCAAAAGAAGACAAGAAGGACUGAUAAUUGCAGAAAACAUUGGGUUAAGAGGAAAAGGUGGCAAACAUUUCAGCAGCCAAGACAACAUAGAUUCACAUGACCUCCUUUAAAGUAAAGAUAAGUCUGUCAGUUUUUAGAAACAGUGCUGACAACUUUCAGAAACAGUGUGCUGUCAAUACUAAAAAAAGCUGUAAAUAGUUGAAAUGUUAUUAUGUUUAUUAAGCAUUAGAUCUUGUAUAUAAGGGAGCUUUUGCUCCCAUGCAGAGCACACCUCUAGCUCAACACAUCUCAACACCUCACAACCUCUCAAUACCUCUCAACAUCUCAACACCCUACUCACUCACACCAUCUUCAUACUCUCAAGUAUUCGUAGUCUUCAUAACAUCCUUGUAAACACUUUCUUGUAAAUAACUAUCUUUGUAAACAUUCCAUAUAUCAAUAAAAGUUCAAGUGUACAUAUUCCAGCAAUCUCCAAGUCUUAAGUAAGCUUUCUUUACUUUCUUUAGUGUGUUUUGUUAAAUUAGAAUUCUAGUCCAAAACAGGGAAACACUAUUGUAGUUAUAUUAUUAACCUGCUAAACUGACGAUCAUACUUUGUUCGAGCACUCUGUGAUAGUUAAAUAUUUGCCAUACAAAUAACUGGACAUUAACCAGGGUACCUCUGAGUUUAGCCAUUAAGGCCUUAUACUUGUACUAUGAGUGGCCGUCAUGCUGAAACAUGUCGAGUUCCAUGUCUAAGGUUCUAUGUCUAGUUGUUAUAAUGGCCAUCCAACUAUUUAACCGGACAUGCGUUGCGAAUUUGGUAUUAGAGCCAAGUUUAGUAUUUUAAUAGUAUAAUUAUAAUAGUAAAGUACCUUGAGGACGGAAGUCAUUAACACAACUGAUAUCUCACUUGUUUAUUUUGUAUGAACAACAUAUAUUAUUGUCCUCGUAGACCUUGUCAGCCACAACCACCAGGUAUUUAUUAUCCCAGACACCCAACUAUAAAUAGCAUAAAGAGAACAUUAGCAUAUAUAUCGAAAAGAAUUAUCAAUACUUUGAAGAAGCAAAAGUUUUACCUUGGUUAUCUUGAACAUCCUUCAUUUAUUCGUAGAUAUAAUAACACAGAAGUGUAGCAUAAAGUUUUAGAAGCAAAAAGAGCAACAGAUCAAGUUUUAGAGAUCUUGAAAGAAGAAAGAGAAUUUCUAAGAAAUCAGUUAGCAAUAACUUUAGAGAAAUGUAGAUUAUAGUUUAUGAUAGAUUAUCUUAAUUUAGAAAUUAGUGAACCUCAAAAAAGAAAAAUAACCUUAGACCAAAAUAGUUUAGUUUGCUAUUUUCCAUUGAGAAAGCAUAAUUAUAUUUUGCAUAGUGAAGAAAAUCCAC
This 6386-nucleotide long non-coding RNA is filed under the name Malus domestica (apple). Its description in RNAcentral is "long non-coding RNA (MDOM_LNC016794)". Lineage: Eukaryota; Viridiplantae; Streptophyta; Magnoliopsida; Rosales; Rosaceae. The record is from RNAcentral.